Molecule: long non-coding RNA, 1149 nt
Filed under: Callithrix jacchus (white-tufted-ear marmoset)
Lineage: Eukaryota; Metazoa; Chordata; Mammalia; Primates; Cebidae
Description: lncRNA (ENSCJAG00000074033.1)
Source: RNAcentral
GGAAGGCACUCUUAGAGGGUGGUUGAGAUUGAUGUUGAGCCAAUCAAUCCACAAUAUCUGUCAUGCUGUGGAUGGAACCAAUUUGGGAGAAAAAUCAAGAGUUCAGUUUUGAACACGGUAGAUUUAAGGAAGAAAGACCCGGCUGGAGAUACACAUUUGGGGGAGUCACCAGAACACAGCAGGCUUUUAAAGCCAUGAUACUGGAUGAGCUCACCUAAGGAGUACAUGUAGCUAGAGCAGAGAAGAUAUUGGAGCACUGUGAUAUCCAGAGGUCGAGGAGAUGAGACGGAACUGGCAAAGAGACUGCACAGGCGGGGCAAGGAGAAGUGGGUUCCAGAAUCCAGGAAAAGACAGGAUUGCAAGGAGGAGGAUAACCAGCUGUGUCUGGUGGUGAUCUUAGUUGAAACAAGAUGAAAACCAAGAUUGGACCAUCAGGUUUGACACAGUAAGGAGGUCACGGUGACAAGAGCUGUCCAAUGGGAAGGUGGGAAAGAAACCCUGAUUGCAAUGCUUUUAAAAGGGAAUUAUGGGCCAGGUACAGUGGCUCAUGACUGUAAUCCCAGAACUCUGGGAGGUUGAGGUGGGUGGAUCAAGAAGACAGGAGUUCAAGACCAGUUUGACCAAGAUGGUGAAACCCCAUCUCCACUAAAAAUACAAAAAAAAAUUAGCUGGGCAUGGUGGCAGGAGCCUAUAGUCCCAGCUACUCAGGAGGCUGGGGCAGAGAAUUGCUUGAACCUGGGAGGCGGAGAUUGCAGUGAGCUGAGAUUACACCACUGUACUUCAGCUUGGGUGACAAAGUAAGACUCUGUCUCAAAAAAAAAAAAAAGGUGGGGGGAAUCAGGGAGAGAGCAUGGAGGCACCAAGUGUGGCCAUUCUUUUGAGGAGGUGCACUGCAAAGAGGAGCAGAGAGCUGGGAGAGGAGCUGACCAGCAAGAAAAUGGAAAUCUCAGUCCUACAACCACCAGAAACUGAAUUCUGCUAACAACCAUAUGCAUUUGAACAAGACUCUGUGAUCUAGAAGGGAACACAGCCCAGCUGACACCUUAAUCACAGCCUGUGUGACCCUGAACAGUGGACCCAUUGCAGCUGUGCUCAGACUUCUAACCCAUGGACAUUCUGAGAUAAUGAAUUUGUGCUGUUCCAAGCCAU